This is a long non-coding RNA of Ostrea edulis (European flat oyster), 6134 nucleotides long. RefSeq lists it as uncharacterized. The record is from RefSeq and is a predicted model, not a curated record. The transcript has 2 exons. NCBI's taxonomy places the organism in Eukaryota, Metazoa, Mollusca, Bivalvia, Ostreida, Ostreidae.
AAUUCAGUAUGAUUAAACCGAAAGUAAGACAGUCUAGCGAAAUUCUUAGACACUUGGAGGUGUAAAAACAUCUUUUUCUUCGAAUGAAUGGCAUUGGAACGAAAUGAAACCCUACAGAUAUUGAAACAGUGGAAAUAAAAUAGUAUGUGAAAGGCGAAGACAACGAACAGUGAUCAAUCUCAUAACUAUAAGGCGAAGACAACGGACAGUGAUCAAUCUCAUAACUAUAAGUAAUACAAAAUAGAGAGUUGCAUCUGUUGUUUAUAAAGUUGGGAGGAUACCUAUAUUCAUCGACACAUGAGUGUGUGCUGCCGGGAUGUUGUAUUGUAUUGUGUGGAUCAUGGCAUUACUAUGACAGACGGGUUUCUGAUACUCAAGGAUCAAAUUGAAGUUUCCAUCCAGAGGAUCCAGUUUUUGGUUUAUAGAAGUGAAAUCCCGAGGGUUGCUAAUAUCUAUAUAUUGGUUAUCGACUAUGGACUAGCACUGCGAUGCUGAGUUGCUAACAUUUUUUCUUGUAGAGACUUGGUCCUUUCUAAAUCUAAGUUUUUGUUCUAAACUAUAUAAUCCGAGUUUCCAUUGCUUCGUGGUCUAGGUCCAGACUUUUUCUUCUGAAACUUUUAAGUGAUUUGACUUGAGUACUGACAGUAUCUGUGUAAAUUAAUGUCUGAUUGAUUGAUUGUAUCUUGCUUUACGUCUCGCUCGAGAAUUUUUCACUCAUAUGGAGACGUCAUCAAGACCGGUGAAGGGCUUCAAAUUUAGGCCUAUGCUCGGCGCUUACGGCCAUUGAGCAGUGAGAGUUCUUUAGAGUGCCACACCUACUGUAACACCCGUUUUUAAGGUCAUCUCCGAGGACCCGUGACAUUCACACCUGAUGUCGAGCGUUUGGCGAUGGAACUGUCACUACCUAUUUUAACGAAUUAAUGUCUGGUGGUAGACUGUACUAGCAGGGUAUGGUGUAGAUGGGACACAUUUAUGGGGAGAAAUUGUAGCAUCUGUAGACAACACUAUACUACUGGAGACUGAUGCGGGCGUGAAAGUGGAGAUUAAGACGCAAAGCUUUCAAGUGUUUGUGGUCCAAACGCCUUCUUCGUCUGUCAACACAACACUUGUGCUUUUGAGCACAGGUGCUUGUGGAAAGGACUUUCGGUACCCCCCUUCUUUUAUUUUUAAAUGUUCAAUUCCUUGGGUAUUUCGGACGUAUUUUUGAUAAAAUAUGUAACUUCAGAGUUUAUCUAUUUCAAUGGAAUACACAAAUCUCGCAUAGAAACCGUUUUUAAAAAUGUCAUAUCACCGAUCAUAAUAUAUGAACAUAUAUUAUGAUCGGUGAUAUGACAUUUUUAAAAACGGUUUCUAUGCGAGAUUUGUGUAUUCCAUUGAAAUAGAUAAACUCUGAAGUUACAUAUUUUAUCAAAAAUACGUCCGAAAUACCCAAGGAAUUGAACAUUUAAAGAUAAAAGAAGGGGGGUACCGGAAGUCCUGUCCACAAGCACCUGUGCUUUUGAGGAGAGAUUUAGGUUAACCCUUUCGUGAAUGCGAGAUUCACGAAUGACUGUUUUUAGACUAGCGUUGGUAGUAGAAUGCAGUAACUUGAUACACGGGUCUGAGCAAGAUUUGUAGGGCCUGAGGACGGUGACUUUGGACCACUUCAACUGUUCACAGACAUAUGGCAAGCCCUUUUACUAUUUAUUAGAAAAAUAAGAUAUCUCUUUAAAUUAAAGAUAUAUCUCUUAUUUUAAAGAGAUAUCUCUUUAAAAUGAGAGAUAUCUCUUAAUCUUAAGAGAUAUAUCUCUAAAUAAGAGAUAUCUCUUUCACUUAGAGAGAUAUCUUUUACUUUUAGAGAUAUCUCUUACACUUAAAGAGAUAUCUCUUUCAAUUUAAGAGAUAUCCCUUUCAUUUAGAGAGAUAUCUCUUAUACUUUAAGAGAUAUCUCUUUCAUUUAGAGAUAUAUCUCGUUACCUUAAAGAGAUAUCUCUUUUACUCUGAGAUAUAUCUUUUACUUUGAGAGAUAUCUCCUUCACUUUAAGAGAUGUCUCUCUAAGAAUUCCUAGAGAGAUAACUCUCAAAGUAUAAGAGAUAUCUCUUUAAUCGGUGAAAAAGAGAUAUCUCCCAAAGAGAAAGAGAUAUCUCUUUCCAAUAUUUUUAUUAGUUUGAAUACUUAAGUAAUUCUCCCUAAAACGGAAGCCCGCCAAAGCAAAUCUUACCAUGAUGGCUGGGGUGUUGCUAAACCGCGGAACGGAAAAUGGAACGGAAGACGGAACGGAAGGGAAAACGGAAAAUAUAUCAUGCAAUAAUGUUAUGAGGAGGUCAACAUUUUACAAAAUCAAAAGGCUUAUUCAUUAUUAUGAACAAGGAAUGCAGAAAUUACAGAGAAAACAGGAAGUCAUCCUCAGAAUCCACCAUUUCAUAUUGAUACCUGAUACUAAUGCAUUAUUAUGCAUUUUGACAAGGUUUGUUUUGUGGAUGAAUAUACUAACAGGCGCUUGCUUAAUAAUUUGCAUAGUAAGUUUUAAUAAAAAUAUCAAGCAAGCGCCUGUUGGCACCAUCUUUUUCCCCGGCUUUGUCAUCCCUCCCCCCAGAUUUUGACAAUGUUGUUCCACAAAUGAAGAAAAAAUAAAUAAAGUAACAUACUGAAAAAGACUUGAAUAAUAAUUCAACCCUUUUCAGAUUUAUUUACUUUAUUCUGGCUGGUAUGGUAAGAAAAGAUUUUAUGAGCCCAUCCAAUGAAUAAAAGGUACCCCCCCCCCUGUAAACAACAUUGUAAAAGAUAAAAUAAUUUUUUGAACAAUUUUCCCCAAACAUAGCCUUUUUAAAUCGAACGUGCUUUUAAUCGAACUACAUAUGUUUAAGAUAACUGAAUUUGAAUUCAGUUCUACACCUGGUACAAUAUACAUUUAUGUAUCACAUAAAGUUUUAAAGCGAACGAGUCCGGUGAAGAAAAAAGUUUUGCCUCAUUUAGGAUGAAUCGAUGUCAAAGUUCGUACAUUUACCGAUACUAUGUAUGUCCAUCCUCUAAUAUUCACUCCACUUUUCAUAUUGUAACACCUCUUUUGUUUAUACUUUGUAAUUGAAUAUGUUUUAUGCCGAUGAGCCGUAUAAACAAUACAAUACAAUAGGAAUUAACAGAUUUAUUUUAUAAUAUAUGAAAUAGCUAAAAAGCUAACACAAAAUUUAUGCUUGAAUGGAAUAGCUAUUAAAAGUCAUCUCAUUAUUAAUACAAAUGUUAAAGCUAUACAAGUAUUUAGUUUAAAAUUAACUGCCAGAAGUCCUCCCUAUUUAGGAUUGGAGUGCUGCGGUUACUAAGUCUCCUGUUAGUUAAAAAAUGAUAAAUCAAACAAAAGAUGUUUAACUUGUUGACUAAAUAAGAUCAUGAAUUAUUAUUGUUUUAUACAUAUCACACUCCCUGUUGUAAGUACACACAUACACGGUAUUAUGUAUAAAUACAUGUACAUGUGCGUAAAUGACGUUUUGCCACCGUAUAAACCACGUGUGUUCUUUUCAUUCUCUACCCAUAGGUGUCACUCGCUAACACCUCUGUCAUUGCCGAAAUUCUUGUAAAAUGCCUGUAAAUUCCUAUACUAACGUUUAACUAAAUUCGCUUAAUCAAUUUAUGAUGCAAGAUAAAGUUGUCUUAUCGCUUGUAAACAAUUCCCAAAUUGUUGAUUUUAAUCAAAAUGAAUCCCCCCCCCCCUCCGAUUUUUACCGUUAUCUUACCUACAUUAAUCAUUCUAAUUCUUAAAUUCCGUUCUGUUUCCCGUUCCGCGUUUUAGCAACACCCUGAUGGCUGCAAUCCCCUGGGAAGAUUUUGCUUUUUACAUACAUGUACAGGUAACAAAAAACAAAGACAAUAAAUUGAUGAAAUAUGCGUGCUAGACUAGAUUUCGCCUCUCGGCAACUUGACAAUGUUACCCCAACCACCUCUUCAACCUUUCCCGCCAUUUGUACACUAGAAGUAUUUUGCUUGGUUAAAACAUUUCAAUGACAAUGCAACAGGGAGAAGUCAUUAUGAUUACCGAGGGGAAAAUCUAAAGAGAUAUCUCUUUAGAUUAAAGAGAUAUCUCUUUUUUAAAAUUUAAAGAGAUAUCUCUCUAACUUAAAGAGAUAUCAUUUUUUUUACAUUGAUGGAGAGAUAUCUCUUUCUCGCCGAGAGACAUCUCUCUAGCUUUGAGAGAUAUCUCUCAAGCGUAAAGAGAUAUCUCAUUUGUUUAAAGAGAUACCUCUUUUGUUUAGAUAUAUCUCUUUUGGUUAAAGAGAUAUCUCUCUAACUUACAGAUUUCUCUUUAACCAAUAAAGAUAUCUCUCUUAUUUAAAGAGAUAUCUUAUUUUACGAGUAAAUAGUAAAAGGGCUUGCCAUACAGACACGUCAAUGCAAGCCGAGACAUGUUUUGGACUCAUGGUCGUCAGUCAAUACAGUGAUAAAUGUUGAGCGUAUCAAAUCUGCGUUCAUAUUACAUGUAUAAUAUAUGGAGUAUUUGUACAAGAACGUGAACAUUUGAAUGAGAGUGUAGUGGACAUAUUAUAUACAUCAUCUCGAGUGAGGUUUACGCAUUCAGUGAAGCCAUUCUUGUCAUGUGUCGCAGUGAAUUGUACCGAGAUUUGCUUCCUUGUCGGAUUGGAGUUGUUGUCAUGGUGACCUACACUGUGCAUGUUGUGUAUUCUCAGCUGAAGGAAAGCUAGGUUUGUUCGUAUUGUUCUAAGUUGAUGGCUUGUCAAUCAGAUCUAUUAAAUCCUACAAUAAUAGUUAUAAGUAUGCCUGGUUGUUUUCUCAGACUUAUCGACUAAUGGAAAGAAUAUAUGGUCAACAAACAUGUCGACUCUGGUUCCAUUUGCCAGCAACUUCAGUUGCGUGUGGUAGACAUGUUUUGACGACUAGUAGUGCCAUCAGUACGUUUGUUAGCAACACUAUUAUUGUACGCUGGUUAAAAUUGUUCCCGUUUUGUCCUUGUCGACAGUGGAGUAGUACAUGUAUGUCAGUGGCAGAAGGAUGCAAGACUAUCCUGUAUGUGCUCCUCAACAGUUCAAAACCAGUACUAGUGCUAAAUUCUGCUACAAUUUUAUAAAAACCAACUUUCAUUUCAUAUGCUAGUUUCUCGUGAACAGACUCUUGUCUUUAUGUCUAUAAGGUUUUUCUUGAGAAUUGCUGGAUUGUAUUGAUCAGAAAGUUGUUCAUCGUCCGAAACUUUUUGGUUAACUGUUGAGAUCUUGAUUAGAUAAUUAGGUUUCAUGUCUUUGGUGAUCAAUGCCCGAGAAUCGUCAUUGAUGAGUGUUUGUUGUUUCUCUGGUAGGCGUAGGGAUGAUCCAAAAUUCUGCCUGACCAAUAGGCGUAGGGAUGAUCUAAAAUUCUGCCUGACCAAUAGGCGUAGGGAUGAUCUAAAAUUCUGCCUGACCAAUACCAUUUUGUAAAUAAAACGAUUGUUACUCAUAAUGGUAAAUGGAAGAGCAAUAUAACAUCAGUAAAAAAUAAAAAAAACAACAACAAACCUUCUCGGGAAUUGAAAGUAAUAGGCCGGAUUACCACACAUCUAUAAUUUCCGCAAGUUGAUAAAAUACAAUGGAAUGAUAAAAAGUUGGUUUAAUGGGACUUUUAGAACCUGGAUGCAAUUCCUGAAGGUGUAGUCUCUUCCAAUAAAUACAUUAUAAAUAUUCAUUCAUAGUGAUGGAUUUUAUAAUGAGACCAAUUAUUCUUACGCUAAAAGAUGACCGACAUUUAUAUAGUUUAAGCCAUGUUCAUAAGGUCGUGGCACUGUGUGAACUGUUAAUGAUUUGAAGAAAUUUUUAGAAUAACUAAUAUUUCAGAUAUAUUGUAAAGUGUUUUAAUGGUAUAUAAUAUUUUUAACAAAGUGAAAUGAUCACGUUAAAGCUCUCGUUGUAAGCUGAAUAUAAGACAAACGAAAGUACAAUUUUUCAAUGGGCAUGGACACCAUUUGAACUGAACAUUCAAAUUUUUGCUGACAAUUAGAAAUACCUUAAUUAAGCAUUAAAAAUGUGGAAAAUAAAAUUUCUCAAUUUUCUGUUCAAAUUGUGUCCAUGUCCCUUUAAAGCAAAAGCUCUAUAAAGAAAAUACAGCAUUAUAUAUCAUGGACAAUUCAAUUUCAUAUGAUAAAACCCAAUAUGCACUGCAUAUGGAGAAAUGAUUC